This 119-nucleotide ribosomal RNA is filed under the name Lepisosteus oculatus (spotted gar). Lineage: Eukaryota; Metazoa; Chordata; Actinopteri; Semionotiformes; Lepisosteidae. The record is from RNAcentral.
UCCAGUAGCCAUAUUACCCUGCAACUCACAGCUGGCAGUCCACUGAAGCUAAGCAGGUGUGAGCCUGGUCAGUACCUGGAUGUGAGACCUCCUGGGAAAAGCUAAGGCUGCUGCUGGAA